AGCAUAUCAAUAAGCGGAGGAAAAGAAACCAACAGGGAUUGCCUCAGUAACGGCGAGUGAAGCGGCAAUAGCUCAAAUUUGAAAUCUGGAGCCUUCGGCUUCCGAGUUGUAAUUUGAAGAGGAUGUUUCGGUUGCGGCCACGGCCCAAGUUCCUUGGAACAGGACGUCAUGGAGGGUGAGAAUCCCGUACCUGGCUGUUGGCUUGCUUCCAUGUGAAACUCCUUCGAAGAGUCGAGUUGUUUGGGAAUGCAGCUCAAAAUGGGUGGUAAAUUUCAUCUAAAGCUAAAUAUUGGCGGGAGACCGAUAGCGCACAAGUAGAGUGAUCGAAAGAUGAAAAGCACUUUGAAAAGAGAGUUAAACAGUACGUGAAAUUGUUGAAAGGGAAGCGCUUGCAAUCAGACUCGCUUUCGGUUGAUCAACGUUCCUUCUGGUUCGUGCACUCUGCCGUUGGCGGGCCAGCAUCAGCUGGGGCGGUGGGACAAAGACUUCAGGAAUGUGGCUCUCUUCGGGGAGUGUUAUAGCCUGUUGUGCAAUGCCACCAGUCCCGGCUGAGGUCCGCGGUUUAUCCUAGGAUGCUGGCUUAAUGGUUGUAAGCGACCCGUCUUGAAACACGGACCAAGGAGUCUAACAUCUAUGCGAGUCUUUGGGUGUCAAACCCAUGGGCGUAAUGAAAGUGAACGGAGGUGGGAGUCUUCGGAUGCACCAUCGACCGAUCCUGAUGUUCUCGGAUGGAUUUGAGUAGGAGCAUAGCUGUUGGGACCCGAAAGAUGGUGAACUAUGCCUGAAUAGGGUGAAGCCAGAGGAAACUCUGGUGGAGGCUCGCAGCGGUUCUGACGUGCAAAUCGAUCGUCAAAUUUGGGUAUAGGGGGCGAAAGACUAAUCGAACCAUCUAGUAGCUGGUUU
Molecule: ribosomal RNA, 903 nt
Filed under: Drechslerella dactyloides
Lineage: Eukaryota; Fungi; Ascomycota; Orbiliomycetes; Orbiliales; Orbiliaceae
Description: LSU rRNA
Rfam family: Eukaryotic large subunit ribosomal RNA
Source: RNAcentral